This 5908-nucleotide long non-coding RNA is filed under the name Sus scrofa (pig). RNAcentral's name for it is "lncRNA (ENSSSCG00050000543.1)". The record is from RNAcentral. Lineage: Eukaryota; Metazoa; Chordata; Mammalia; Artiodactyla; Suidae.
UUUUUUUCUUACACACACAUACACUCUACUUCAAGGUGAAAGCGUUCAUCAAAAAUUCAUUGGAAGUUUAUGUGUAAAAUAGGGGAUUUUGCCUUACUCUGCACAAAGACUCAACGAAUGAAGAUUAUUGUUACACAAGGGAGGAUUCAGAGCAUGUCAAGCUAAAUAUGCAUUUUUAACUAGUUUGAGUCUUAAAUUUUGAUCUUUAAACUACUAGGACAGAAAAGCAACUAGUCUAGAAUAAUGUACAGACCUCUCUAUAUGACUUCUAUACUUGAAGGUCUAAAGACCAGGCUCAAACAAAACUCUUGAUUGACUUUUUUAAGCCACCUUCUUUCCUGGUGAUCUUCCUCCCUGGAAAUGGCACCCCUCUGUCAGUCUGGCCCAUCCUCAGUCCCUUUAUCUCCCUCCUGUCAUGUUCUUCAAGAGCAAGUCCUGCUGAAUUAGCGCCAAAGCCUUUCCCACCCCACCUCACUGCUCCCCCCAUAUCCUCCGCUGCCUGAUGCCAGACACCAGUGUUUCUUCCCCAGCAGCCACCACAGCUCCUUGCCUGGUGCUCCGGGUUCUGGUCUUGGUCUCUUCAAGAAGCCCGGAUGAUCUUAUUUUAAAAGAGCAUCACAUCAUGUUAUGAGUCUGAUGAACUCUAUCUAAUGGUUUCCCAACAUAGUUCAGUACCCAGCCCUCACCCUGCCUGCUGGGCAACAUCUCCGUCUACCUCUCUCCCCGUUGAUUCCACAGCUCCUAACAAGUGGCUUCAUUUCUGAUCUUCAAAGGGCCCAGGUCACUCCUGCCCUAGAACUUUUCUAUCUGGACCUUCCCUUCUCUGAAAAGCUCUCUUUGUACAUCUUGACAUGGCCACAUCCUGGACACAGAUUUCGGCAGGCUGUCAUCCCUUCCCUCUCUAAAGACACUCCCUGCCUCGGUCUCUUUACUUCACCGUGUUUUCGUUUGUUUUUGUCUUUUUCUUUAGGGCCAUACCCACAGCAUACGGACGUUCCCGGGCUAGGGCUCGAAUCAGAGCCACAGCUGCUGUCCUAUGUCACAGCUCACAACUACGCCGGAUCCUUAACCCACUGAGUGAAGCCAGGGAUCACACCCACGUCCUCAUGGAUACUAGUCGGAUUCAUUAGCACUGAGCCACAAUGGAAACUCCUACCAUGUUUUUUUUUUAACAUAUACUCCCCGAUUUUAAUUUUUUUUUAAUUUAGCUAUUACAUGCAUACAUUGAAAUGCACAAAAUGUAGAUAUUACAUAUGUAUAAUCAAAUGCAUAAAUGCCUUAAUUAUAAAACUUGAAUUUUUACAUGUGCAGCCAGGGUCACCACCUCACGGAUCAAGAGACAGGACAGUUCCAAAUCCCCAAAAGGUUCUAUUAUGUUCCUUCCAACCAUUACCCCCUCCAUCCUGUUGUCUUCACUGUGUUCUAGCAUCAUAACACAUGUGCACACCUGAUGGCUUGGGGAUUUAUGUAUUCGUGUGAAAUUCCCACUGGAGUGGGUACCUUCCGUGCUGUGUUCAUGGCUACACUCCCUGUGCUCAGCACAGAGUAGGUGCUCAAUAAUGAUUUUCUAAAUAAGUGAGUUAAUAGGGCCUGUCAACCAAAAUAUUAAAAUCAGCUGGGUUGAUGCGACUCAGCUACUGAAGUCGAAGUUGUUAAAAUUCAAAGGAAACCCAAAAACCGAACUGCUGCUCUUAACCCGGUAUUCCGGCUUUUAGUGGACUCCCCAGUACCCCCACAACUCCACACUGCAUGUGUCACCUCAGCAGAAGGCUUUCCUUGGGAACUAGCAGCCCUUUUUAGCUAAACAAGCUAAGAAGGGACUAAGUUGCUCAUCAAUAGUAGGUGUGGGGGGGGCGGGGGAUUAGAGAGUAAUAAACAUAUUCCUCUGUUAACAUUUUUGCCUCCUUUUUCUCUUUCUAUUGGCAAAUGAUAAGGGUUGUUACGAGAUUAUUGAACCACUUUAACCAUCUACAGUUGAUGGGCAAAGCUUUUCUCUAAUUAAGCAAAUCCUAGAGAUACAAGUCAGCUGAGGGAAGAUUUUCAUUUCUAACUAUAGGCAGCCACGAUGGAGAUAAGCAUUUUCCUACCUUUUUUUUGAUCCCUGCCCACGGAUGCACCACGGGCGGUCAACCACCCCAUCUCCGUGGAACCCCACGCACACGCACAAACCCCAGGCGUGGAGGCUUUUAAGCAGAACAAAUAGGAGGAGAGCACAGGAGAGGCUUGACUCAGAGCCUGACAAGGUAGAAUAAUCAAAAUGUGUUAGUACUUCCAUUGAACGGGAGACAUGCGAGUUAAGCAGCAAUUAAGUUAAUAAAUGGAUUCUUAUUUUCUUCACUGAAUCCAAAGAUCUCAGGCUAAUUGUCUUCUUGGUAACAUACCGCUUAUUCAUGAUUUUAAGCAGUGUUUUUAAUAAAGCAAAGAAGGCGGUGUGCUUUAAUAAGAGGAGUAUCAUUAGCUCAGAAGCCAGAGAGACCUGGGUUCAGAUCUCAGUUUAAUCCCUUGUAACCUGCUUCGCUGGAAGUCGGCCAAAUUCCUUUCGCUUCUGUUUUCUCCUCAAGUAAACAGGGUGAGAAACUCAGCAGGGUGCUGCAAGUACUAAAAUGGGAUGUUUGAAGGUGUACAGCACUUUGCCCAAUGGGGGGCCUUAAGUUCCUGACCUUCUGUCGCCAUCGUGAUUAUUGUUAAGCCCCGAACCGGCCUUCAUCAGCAAUGAUAGCCGUCUAACCAUUUUUUUCAGUGGGUUAGGUUCACUUUCAAGUGGUCUGGUCUCUCUUUAAAAUACAAGGUCCUAAACACAGACCAUGAGAGCCGGGAGCCUCUGAUCAAAACUAUCUUUCCCACUUCGAUCCUCGUAUCAAAUCCCUCGUGCUCAGCACUCCAAACUCAACAUCCUUCUCUGCACUCCUUGACCACGUCGACGCUGCCCUCGUCUUUCCGUGCCUGGUUCCUCCCCAUCCUGCAGGCCACAGGUGGCCGGCACGCAGGACACUUCAUGGCCUCUCUAUAAAACUGUUCUCCCAUCCAUCACCCUCUCCCAUGACCCUCUUUAUUGCCAGCAGGACACUUAGGUACAACCUGCAACAACCCGCCUUUCCUGUCUGUUUGCCUGUUUAACAUCUGUCUGCUCACCAGGGUCUGUGCUCCUCCAAGGCAGGGGUCUUAGCUGGUUCUCAGCCACCUGCUCUGAACAGGCUCUGGAUCCGUGCUUCUUUUAAGAAACAUGCAAGUGAGUGAACCUGUUUGGUAUGGCAGUGGUUUUGAAUGGGUUUCCCCCGAAAGGUCAACAAGACAAGGAUUUGGGUGCUAGUGAUUUGCUUGGGAGGUAACUUCAGGAAAACCCAGAGAGGAAGCAGGAGAGAGGGGCAGGGAAGGGACAGUAACUGGGAGAGGGGGGAUUUUCACACUUGUUACCACGGAGGGCGACCAGGGCCUCGCUGGGGACACUGGGAGAAGAGAAGGGCCACGUGGCUGUCCACACAUCCCACCCCCAUCCCAGGAGAGGUAUCCUCGCUGUCCCCACCAGUUCACAGGCCUUAUUGUUCGAGGACUAAUAGUCCUCAACAUUCCCAGCUCACUUCCAGACAGAGUGGGUUCCAGAGGCCAAAAAAAGCACCCAAAAAAUCACAGGGGCUGGCAGGUGGAAAGCAGGCAGGGUAUGCCUCAAAGUGCCUAAGUUCCAAGGACACAGGGGACAAAAUGGCUUUUAUUGUUGAAACCAAAUGCAGGGCACACAGGCCAGCCUCAAAAAUCAGGGCAGCACCCCAAAAUCUAUGAACCAGGCCUGAAAAACACACACACAACACUCAUAUAUGAUACACAGAGGGGGAUAUGCAUGCUACACCCACAGCAGCUUUCUGCUCUCCUCCCAAAUGACAUUUUGAGCAAAGCCUGACUGCAGAAAAUAAAGCCAACUGAGAGACAAGGCAACGCGUCGGUAAAUACGACUUCUGGAAUAUCUCCGCCGACACACAGGGACACCCCAGCAGUGGUCUGGGGAAUGGCUCCGAUUCCCUGACAUGAUGCUGAAAUAACCAAUAUCACAUUAACAAGGUUUAUGCUGCAAAUUACUCCGUACAAAGUGCUAUUAAAAGUCAGUGAUGAGUGAAAAUAGCCUUCACAAUUUCAUGUCAACAUUCAAACCCUAGAUUGAGUUUCUCCUCUCCAGUUUCAUUCAAAUAAUUAUCUUCCCUUGGAUUAAAUGAUAUUUUUUAAUUUGAUCGCGUCCCACAGCCGUAUGUUUAUUUUAUUUGGGGGAAGGAGAAAGGUAUCUUAAUUUCUCAUAAUAAGAGCUCUGGUGGAAGCUGGAACUUUAGUGACACGCCAGUAAUCAAAACUGAAUUCUAUACAAGAAGUAAAUUAUUCUGCCUUCCCAAUUAAUUUGCAAAUAGCCACAAGGCUAAUAAAAUGCAGGCACAAUUCUGAUUUCCCUUUUGCAAAAGCCUCGCUCCUCAAUAAUCAGGAGAAGAAAACUCACCGAGGUGUAGGUCACGCGCCAGAAAGCCGGCGUUUAGCCCCAGAAGCGCAGCGCAAGUGGCAGCGCCUGAAGCAGGAGGCGGAGGAAAACUCCCUCUGAUUCUUGUCUUCAGGUGCACGACGCUCUGUGGCCGGUGCUGGAAGACGCCGGCAUCCAGCCCCAGAAACUGGAAUGAAGAGAGGACCUCCCUGAGGACAUGACUCUGCAGGACGGCAAGCCCUCCAACGCCUUCUGAGGAAGGCCUCGAGGCUGACUCCACCUCCAGUUCAGUUCUUUGACAGCUGCAGGGCAGAUGAUCCUUCGAAAUCUACUUCUGUGGACGAGUGGGUCUCUUACUGCAUUGGGUGGCUUCCAGGCAAGAACCUGGCGGCUGUGUAUUAGCUUCCUGUGGCUGCUGGAACAAAAGACCACAGACUUAGUAUCCUAGAGCAACACACAUUGACUCUCCUGCAGUCCAGCUCAGAGAAGAUACCUCCUUGUCUUGGUCAGCUUCUAGAGGCCACCUGCACUCCCUGGCUCACGGCCUCACACUCCAACCAACUGCUGCCCCCAGUCUGCCGACUCUUUGAUAUUCUUGCUUCCCUCUUACAAGUACCCUUGUCCUUAAACCCAUCUGGAUGGUCCAGAACCAGCUUCUCUAACCAUGUCUGCAAAGUCCCUCUGCCAUGGAAGGUGACAUAUUCACAGCUCUGAAAAUUAGGAGGAGGACACCUCUGUGGGUCAUUGCCUGUCCAAUGCCGUGGUCAUCACCACUGCAUCUCAGGCACCUAGCCUAGAAAAGCCACCUCAGGUAACUGGAAUUGCAGUGAAGUGAAAUGGCAAUAAAAUGAGGGAAUUCCGAGCACAAGCACAAGCUCUGAGCGGGAAAUCAGGCUGUGAAUCCUGGCUCUGCUCUGUUAGCCUGACCAGCUUCUUGAACGUGUCUAAACCUCGGUUUCUUCACCUGCACAACAACACUUAAGAGCACCCGCCUUGAGUCGUUGAGAUAAAUUAGAUAAACCUGUUGAGUUUGGCCAGUGCUACACUCAGAACUCAAUAAGCUUUCACUGAGGCACUAAUGAAAUGAGGGGUCAGUAAAGGUUUUCUGUAAGGAGCCAGGCAGUACGUACUUUCAGCUUCAAAGGCCACGUGGUCUCUGUUGCAAAUAUUCAAUUCUGCAGUUAUAGUGCAGAAACAGUUGUAGACAAAGCAUAAAUGAAUGAGUGAGGCUAUGUCCAAAUAAAAGUUUAGGAGCCGGNCAAGUUUCCAGGCUAGGGGUCAAAUCAGAGCUGUAGCUGCCAGCCUACACCACAGCCACAUCCACGCGGGAUCUUUAACCCACAGCCCACUGAGCAAGGACAGGGAUUGUACCCGAAUCCUCACGGAUACUAGUCGGGUUCGUCACCACUGAGCCACAACGGAAACGCCUCACAUUUUAAUUUCAUGUCCUGA